Argentina anserina (silverweed cinquefoil) is the source of this 486-nucleotide long non-coding RNA. RefSeq lists it as uncharacterized. Lineage: Eukaryota; Viridiplantae; Streptophyta; Magnoliopsida; Rosales; Rosaceae. The transcript has 2 exons. The record is from RefSeq and is a predicted model, not a curated record.
GCCAGGCCCACGACUAUAUAUAUAACGCAGGAGACGCACUAGGGUUCAGGGCCUUCAGACUCGUCACUCACGUCAAAACCCUUGAGAGAGCUCCGCCGUCGUUUUGAAGUAGCAUCACCUUUCCCCGCCCAAGAUGAGGGCCAAGUGGAAGAAGAAGAGGAUGAGGAGAUUGAAGAGGAAGCGCCGAAAGAUGAGACAGAGAUCGAAGUAGGCACCUGUUGGGUCUUCUCAAUCUGCAUCUUGCUUCUGCUGCUGCUGGAGUGUUUUUGUAGACUGGAGCCUUGUAGGAUGUUUAUGAGUGAUUAGUUCUCUUCUAUUGAGAUUGGAACUAUGACUAUCUUUUAUGUUUUGAAUUUAGUAUUUUAAAUUAUGUGUUUCGAACUUAAUGGCUCUACUAGUUUUUUUUAUGUGAGUUGAUGGAUUUUAUUUCUUAUAGUUUUAGUAUGACGCUGAAUGUUUAUGUUAUGUUUCUGAUUGAUUGAUUGU